AGGGUAGAGAAGAUCGGCCAAGGGCCCUGCCGCAACCUGAACCGCCAAGGAGGGAGGAGCAGCUCGGGGAUCGGCCUCCAAUCUGGACCAUCGACUUCAUCACCAGAGGGCCUCAAGGAGGAGCAGACCUUCCACGACCAUGGAACUCAGGAAACCUGUAAAUGUAUCACUUACGACUUUGCCCUGAAUCUAAAUUCCUUUCGACUUUGCAUGUUCUUCCCAUUUGGCAUAGAUUCGUUACGACUGGGGAUAACCCCUUCAAAUAGUAAAAACAAGGUCAUGUUAGGAACAGGAGGAGAACCUCAUCCUAACAUAAAUAAAAUGAAAAUCCGAUUAUCUUGAGAUCAGAUUAGGGGAGAGGCCCAUAAAACGGCCCUUAGGAGCCCCCAUGGCCGUGUUAAGAACAGGAGGAGAACCUCGUCCUAACAUGAGCAAAGUCAAAGGCCCGAUUCUUUUAGACCGGAUGGGGGGAGAGGCCUUACAACGCCCAAAUGUGUCCCCACAGUCAUGUCAGAAAUAGGAGGAGAACCUCGUCCUGGCAU
Molecule: long non-coding RNA, 542 nt
Filed under: Elaeis guineensis (African oil palm)
Lineage: Eukaryota; Viridiplantae; Streptophyta; Magnoliopsida; Arecales; Arecaceae
Description: long non-coding RNA (EGUI_LNC081942)
Source: RNAcentral